GUAUGAUGUACGAGUUGUGUUUGUGGUAAUUCACCGUUUGUUACUUUGUUUUUGGGGCUUGGUGUGAAUGUGUGGAAACAUUUUGGAUGAUGAUCGAGAGUAAAAGUUAAAGCCGGAUAUCCUCAAUUGUUUAUUGUAAAGUUGUAGUGCGAUGGAGAUCUUCCUGGCCGUUUCGUAAGACGUUUCGAUCUAAUCUGAGCGGCCCCAACCGUCACGUUUCCGGGAAUUCAGAAUAUGGAAGUGGGGACUAAGGCCCAAAAGAUGCUGGCGAUGGGGAGACGAGGAUAGAAUAGUAUUGAGAGUGCAUGGUAUGUGUGGAAAAAAAUUAAUCGUCUGUCCAUAGCUCUGUUUAGUCCAUGUCAGUAUUUUAUAGUUUUAAUAAACAGAAACAGAGAAGGAAAAUAAUGAAAUGAGAGAACAGGGAUUCCAGGGGGACCAGGGUUUCCAGACCGGGAUUGUUGAAUGGGUCCAGAGUGUGGAAACUUUGGUCACUAAGAGUUAGUUCUUCUGGAGACAUCAUGGGAGAAAGAUAUACCUUCUGCGUGCGAUAAUAAAGAAUUAAAGUUUAUCGCCAAAUCGUUUGAUAUUAUUUUGUAAAUCCCUAUCGAGGACGAGAGGUGGUGGAAAGACUGGGGCAGAAGAAGUAGUCGAAAACACUGGAAGGAGAGGAUGGUGGAGAUCCUGGGAGCGCCCCCAGAAAAGAGAAUGAUUGAGAGGCUGAGGAAGGCGGCAGAGGAGAGAAGAUGAAGGCGAAGAGGAAGGAGACGGGAGGAGAAGAAAGUAUUAGAUAAUGGGGGCUUACGGGGUUGUGUUUAUAGAUAAAUAAGGCCAUUUGUUUUUUUAUAUAGAGCUAUAUAUGUUAAUAUUAAAGUUAAAAUAGAAGAGACUUGUAAGAGAGGCUGGGGAGGAUGUAAAGCAAAGAAAGACAUUUGGAACAUCAAGGAAAUAAAUAAUAAAUAAAAAUAAAAAUAAUAGUAAAUCCCUAUCCAUAAUUCAAUAGAUAGGGGAAAAAAUAGGGGAAAAAUGUUAGCAAUUGUAAAAAAAUCGAAAUUAAUUUCCAAGCAGUGAGAGUUAAUGGUGGAUUCCCCUGACAUUGGAUUCCUCCUGAAAACUUCAGUGGACAUGAAUAAUAAAUAAUCAGAGGAUUGUUUUAUUUUCGACCUGAGAAUGAGAGAAAUCCGUUCACCAUUUGGAUUAAGCCCGAUAAGUGCUGAACGGAAUCGAAGUCGUUUGAAGAACUUUGAGGUAGUGAUUUGGAAAAAGGUAGAGUGGAUCGCUGGUAUCGAUUUCGGGGUCCGGGGUACUCCAGUGCGCUUCAUCCCAGCUGCCGAGUGGAGACCGUUCGAGUACUGGAAACUUGAGUUCCGGACAAACAACGAGAAGUUCGGGCGUUAUGGACUGUUUGUGAUAGCCACUGGAUACGUCUCCUGCACAUCUACGCUUUGGUGGGCUCGUUUUAUUUAGGAAGGGGUAAAGUCUCGGAGGAGGUGUAAUGUGUAAGCUGAGAUUUUACGGCUGGCUGUCACGUUCUUCUUACCUUGAGAGUUGGAGAUUGUGGGUUUGAGAGAAAUACGCGGCGCGAUUGAUAAGAGGUUUAUUUAGUCAAUUCAGUUUUAUUAUGUAAGUUUUAUGGGGCUCACGUACCCCAGUUGUCUCUCCCUCGCGAACCCCGUCUAUGACGUCGAGGGCUGCUAUUCACACGAGUUAAAACAUCCCCAUUACACGUGAAUCCGAACUAUACUUUUUGUUAGUGAUGUUACGUUUAACGAGUGGUGAACUCUACCAUUUUUCGUUUACUAGUAAAAAAAAAUAUUUUCGUUUACCAGUUUUGACUUUUUGUUUACUUGUAAACGAAAAGACACUUUUUGAAGGUGACAAAAUAGUCCAAAACGUUCCAGAGAACGUAGGAAACGUUCAGUGAAAAAGUUCAGGUGUCGUUCAGGGAAAAUUGUUGGAGAAAAUGAUCUGACUGUUUAAGAGAAGCUGCGGAAUCCACACGGAGAGAAAAAUCUAAUAAUUUUUAUAGUGUGAUUCUGAUGAAAAUUACUGUGCUGUCGUACAAUUUCGGCGUAAACUGCGGACCUGAGAAAAAUUACUACGCCUUCAUUCAAAGUGUGAUGCAACAUUUCCCAUGACGAAGUCCAACAUCGACAGUAAUCGGCGACAUUCGGGGCUCAUCGUUAACCAAUCACAAUGAGUCAUUGAAAAAUUGCUGUGUCCACAGUAAAAACUGAAGGAAGGCCCAAUAAAAUGGACUGACCUUGAUGGGAAUUUUUAAAAGAUUUCUAUGAUUUCUUCAUUCAAUCUACAAUGAAAAAUGAUAGACCUUCAAAUUUUAUAGCGCUGUUUGGUAAAUUUUAGCAGGCUCCAUAUCAUUAAUUACCAAAUUUAUUACAAAAUUGACAGUAUUGAUAGGAUUUUUUAUGUGUGAGUAAAAGACAUUCCAUUGCACCUCGAUUCUAGUGCACAGUAAUUUAUCACAGACUUUUCUCCCCAUUUACGGAGAGAAAUAUUCAAUCAAAACUACGUACCUUUUCCAUAAUAUGCGAUUGUCGGCAAUUUUACGAAACUGCCACAGAAUUUUUCCUGAAAUUUCCGUAAUUUUUGGUUGAACCGACUGCGAAAAAUUACGGUACGGUCGUGUCAAAUUUCCCAGUUAAUUCCGUAACAUCUAAACGAUCGACGAAUUCCGCAAUUGUUACGAAAUAUUUCUCGUUACGUAGUCUGGUAAUUUUUCUCGAAGGGUCAGAUCACCCUUCCUGAACAAUCAACAAAAUUUAUUGAGUCAUUCUGUCGUUCUCCCCCUCAAUCAGAACACAACACUAUUACCAAACGUUUAGAGACUAAUUCCAUCCAAUUUUUUCUCGAAUUUUUUUCUCGACAGUAGAACGAAAGAGUUAAUCAUGAAUUUUUCGCAGUGCAUAAAUUUAUCGGAAAGAUAGUAUCUGCCUCUUUCAAUGCUGUGACUUCAUCGAAGAAAGGAAUUUUAAAUAGAUAAGGUGCCACGAUAUUGGAGACAUGCACUUUGCUCCAUUGUUUAUCAGCGGAAAGUACUCGUCGGUGAGAAUACGACGGUGCACUCAAAUAGGGUAAAAAGUGCACCCUUGACAUCAUUUACUUGUCAGAUGACGAAUAACAAUGCAGAGCAUCGUUCACUCCACACGAUGAAAAGACAAAAAAUUACUUCGCUGACAUUUUGGGUCUGAUCCAUCACGGGAUUCAUCCACUCCGGUAACGCAGAAAGUUCCUAUGCCGGUAGACACCACUGAGCCUCCGAUUAUCGAUCUGUGGAGGCUAAAUAUAGAUGUCACGAUAUCAUGCAUUUUUGUAUUACUGUAUACAGAAGACGUGAAAAGGGUGAUCUUUCACUAUGAGCUUCUUAACUUCAGUUAAAGUACCUGAAUUAUUUCGAAAAAUUUUCAUUGAGAUUAUAAAACGGAAUUAAAUUGAACAAUUAAUUUUAACUUGAUUCUAAUUGUGGGAGUAAUUUAAAUAACAACAAAUGAAAGAAUAUUCUUGAGUAGAAAAUUCAUAACGUCCUCUCAUUAAAUGCACAUAAAUAUUAUACUAUUAUAUUAUUAUUAUUAUUAUAUAAUAUUAUUAUUGUAUAAUAUUAUUAUUAUAUUAUAGGGAUAUUAUGAAAUUUUUAUAAAACAAAAAUGAAACCCAAGUGAAUUGUUACUUUCAC
Long non-coding RNA from Diachasmimorpha longicaudata, 3688 nucleotides. RefSeq lists it as uncharacterized. The transcript has 4 exons. The record is from RefSeq and is a predicted model, not a curated record. Lineage: Eukaryota; Metazoa; Arthropoda; Insecta; Hymenoptera; Braconidae.